Molecule: transfer RNA, 74 nt
Filed under: Salamandra atra atra
Lineage: Eukaryota; Metazoa; Chordata; Amphibia; Caudata; Salamandridae
Also listed under: 1 other name
Description: tRNA-Leu
Rfam family: tRNA
About the family: Transfer RNA (tRNA) molecules are approximately 80 nucleotides in length. Their secondary structure includes four short double-helical elements and three loops (D, anti-codon, and T loops).
Source: RNAcentral
GUUAAGAUGGCAGAGCCCGGUAAUUGCAAAAGACCUAAACCCUUUCUACCAGAGGUUCAAUCCCUCUUCUUAAC